Molecule: ribosomal RNA, 420 nt
Filed under: uncultured bacterium
Lineage: Bacteria
Description: bacterial SSU rRNA
Rfam family: Bacterial small subunit ribosomal RNA
Source: RNAcentral
GGGCCCGCACAAGCGGUGGAGUAUGUGGUUUAAUUCGAUGCAACGCGAAGAACCUUACCAGGGUUUGACAUCCUGCGAAUCUCUUGGAAACAGGAGAGUGCCUUCGGGAACGCAGUGACAGGUGGUGCAUGGCUGUCGUCAGCUCGUGUCGUGAGAUGUUGGGUUAAGUCCCGCAACGAGCGCAACCCACGUCUUUAGUUGCCAGCAUUUAGUUGGGCACUCUAGAGAGACCGCCGGUGAUAAACCGGAGGAAGGUGUGGAUGACGUCAAGUCAUCAUGCCCCUUACAUCCUGGGCUACACACGUACUACAAUGCUACGGACAAAGAGCAGCAAGUUCGCGAGGACAAGCAAAUCUCAUAAACCGUGGCUCAGUUCAGAUCGUAGGCUGCAACUCGACUCCGUGAAGCUGGAAUCGCUAG